RNAcentral lists this ribosomal RNA (407 nucleotides) under uncultured bacterium. Its description in RNAcentral is "partial 16S ribosomal RNA". It matches the Rfam family "Bacterial small subunit ribosomal RNA", at positions 28 to 526 of the family's 1533-position model. The record is from RNAcentral.
GACGAACGCUGGCGGCGUGCCUAAUACAUGCAAGUAGGACGCAGUUGCGAACGGGUGAGUAACGCGUAGGUAACUGCCUAUUAGAGGGGGAUAACUCUUGGAAACGCUUGCUAAUACCGCAUACUAGUAGCUGGACCGUCGUUAUAUUAGCUAGUAGGUAGGGUAAUGGCCUACCGAGGCACUGAUACAUCGCCGACCUGCGCGGGUGAUCGGGUACACGGGUACUGGGAAACGGCCCUGAGGCCCACGGGAGGCAGCAGUAGGGAAUCUUCGGCAAUGGGGCGAACCCUGACCGAGCAACGCCGCGUGGGGGAAGAAGGUUUGCGGAUCAUAGAGCUCUGUUGUUAAGGAAGCGGUACUUAACCAGAAAGGGACGGCUAACUACGUGCCAGCAGCCGCGGUAAUUC